Molecule: RNA transcript, 3269 nt
Organism: Gossypium arboreum
Lineage: Eukaryota; Viridiplantae; Streptophyta; Magnoliopsida; Malvales; Malvaceae
Gene name: putative disease resistance protein RGA3
Exons: 3
Source: RefSeq, a predicted model, not a curated record
UUUUGAUAAAUUAUCAUUUUGUUGGUAUUCUAACAUUUAAGCCUUAAAAAGAAUCUACUUUCAUUGUUUUAUAAGAGGAAUAUAUGUGUUGGCAUGGAAGCUUUUGGCGCAUGCCAAUCUUGACAAUUUGGAUUUGUUGGCUUCCAAUUUCAAGCACCCAUAAUUUAUAUUAUUUUCCUGUGUAAAGCUUCAAGAACUGCCCUCCUCGGCAUCUAAUACCUUGGAAUCCGAAAAUUAUUACUACAAUUCAUACAACAAACAAUUACCAUGGCUGAAUCCUUUGCAUUCGAGAUCGCCGCAAAAGUAUUGGAGAAACUAGGGAGUGCUGCCUAUGAAAGAAUUAGCUUGGCAUGGGGUGUUCGAGAGGAGUUUGAAAAGCUUAAGCUGACCCUAGCUGUUAUCGGAGCUGUGGUCCUGGAUGCUGAACAACAACAGGCUCGUAGCCAGGAGCUCAGUCUUUGGCUACAAAGGUUCAAAGAUGCUUGCUACGACGUGGAAGAUUUGAUAGACGAGUUCGAGAUCCAAGAGUUGAGGAGGCAAGUCCUGGAACGGAGAAGCACUGGAAGUAAGGUACGCCAUUUCUUUUUUGGCUCUAACCCUUUGGCAUUUCGCUUUAUGAUGGGCAAUAAGAUCAAAAAGGCAAACGAGAUGUUGGAUGAGAUUGCAGCUAACAAGGCCAAGUUUCAUCUCACUCCAAAACAUGAAACUAAUGUCAUCCAUCGUGAGAGGGAAACCUACUCCUUUGUUAAGACAUCUAGUGUCAUCGGUCGAGAUGAAGCUAAACAACACCUGGUCAACUUCUUAAUGGAUCCAACUGAUGGGGAAGAUAUCCCUGUCCUUCCCAUAGUUGGGAUCGGAGGUAUUGGGAAAACUACCCUGGCCCAAUUGGUGUUUAAUGAGGAGAGUGUGAAGUCGCAUUUUGAAUUGAGAAUCUGGGUGUGUGUUACAGAGGAUUUUGACGUCAAACAACUGAUGAUAAAAAUCAUUAAAUCUGCCAAUGGCAGAGAGGGCAAGGACAUGAAUAAGGAGGAAUUACAUAAAGCUUUACAAGAUUGUUUGAAUGGUAAAAGAUUUUUUAUGGUACUAGAUGAUGUUUGGAACGAGGACAAGAAAAAAUGGAGUGAGCUGAAAGAUUUGUUGUGUGGGGGAGCCCAAGGGAGUAGAAUCAUUGUCACAACUCGUAGCCGCAAAGUGGCUACAAUCACAGGCACAAUCCCUCCAUACGAUUUAGAGCAUCUUUCUUAUGAGAAUUGUCUAUCAUUGUUUCUUAAACUUGCCUUUAAAGAAGGUGAAGAGAAACAACAUGACAAUCUUGUAAGAAUCGGGGAAGGAAUUGUUCAAAAAUGCAAAGGGGUUGCUUUGGCCGUGAAGACUUUAGGCAGCCUACUCUGUUCAACUAGGGUACAACAUGAUUGGGAACUUGUGAGAGAUAGUGAACUAUGGAAGUUGAAACAGGAGGAAAAUGACAUCUUGCCUGCUCUAAAACUAAGUUAUGAUCAUUUGCCCUGGUAUUUAAAGCAAUGUUUUGCUUUUUGUUCAGUUUUUCCAAAAGAUUUUGAAUUCAAUCCUCUCUAUUUGAUCUCCCUUUGGACGGCAAAUGGCUUUUUGCAAUCACCAUACGAAAAUGAAGAGCCAAAAGAUAUUGGGAAUCGGUAUAUACAAGAGUUACUAUCAAGAUCUUUCUUCCAACAAGUUGAAGAUAAGAUUUUUACUUUCACCUUCAAAAUGCAUGAUUUAGUACAUGAUCUCGCAUUAUCAGUGGCGCAAAAUGAGGUGAAUCCAUGUAAUCAUUAUUCGACUGGGAAUGUUCGACAUUUAAGGUUUGAUCUAUCAAAGCAAGAUGCUUCCCAGUUGGCAAAUAACUUGAAUCGUCUGCAAUCACUUUUCUUAUCAGAUAAAGAAGGAAAGGCUGAUAGCGAAUCUCUUAUUGCAGAAGUCAUCUCAAGGUCUAAACAUUUGAGGGUGUUAGGUAUGUCUAAGUGUAGUUUUGAACAAUUGCCAAACAACAUACGUUAUUUAAAGCAGUUGAGAUAUUUGAGCCUAGUAGAUAAUGGAAAUAUAAAAAGACUUCCAAAUUCCAUUUGCAAUUUGCAGAGCUUGCAAACACUUGAUCUUGGUGGAUGCAGGGGAAUUGAAGAGUUACCAAAAGACAUAAGGUACCUAAUUAGCCUUAGAGAAUUAAGGGUAACAACAAAACAGACGCGUUUGCAAGAGAAUGGAAUAUCGUGCCUAACUUCUCUUCGGAUUUUGUCCUUUUUUGAAUGUGAAAAUUUAGAAAAAUUGUUUGAAGACAUUCAAAACCUAACAGCUCUCCGAGAAUUGUACAUAUAUGAAUGCCACAACUUGGUUUCAUUGCCACAAGGUUUAAAAUACCUACCUACAUUUGAAAAUUUGUCAAUUUUAAAUUGUGAAAAGCUUGAUCUCACUAUGGAGGAGUUGGAACUUGAAAAGGAAGAAGGCGGUAGCCUUAGAAAAUUGAGGAUCGGAGGAGUGCCAAAGCUGGAGUCACUACCCCGAUGGAUUCUUCUAGGAUCCACCCAAACUUUGCAGCACUUGUGUAUCAGAAAAUUGGAGAAUCUCUGCACGUCACCAACGUGGUUCCAACAUUUCACAUCCCUUCAAAAUCUUUACAUUAUAAAUUGCCCAAAACUGUCGUGUCUAUCAGAAGGGAUGCAACACCUCACUGCACUCAAAAGAUUAAGGAUUGGAGGGUGUCCAAAAUUAAACAAAAGAUGCAUUGAAGAAACUGGUGAAGACUGGCCUAAGAUUGCUCAUGUCCCUGACUUUUUAUUGUGGUGACUUCGAGAUAACAACAAAUGACAAAUAGAUAAGCUAACGUAGUACUUGAGGCAUCAACAAAGAAAAGAAAAGAGAAGGCGGACAUAGAGUAAUUUGAGAAUUUCGGUUAGGUACAAAAGUGAUUAACGACUCGGCAUCCAAUCUACUCCCAAACUCAAAGUGGUGAAGUACUCUCCUUUUUGAUAAUUGGCAUGUACCUAGGAAGUCAAAAGUGGUCAUUUUGGAAUGUUAUUGUAAAUAUUAUUGUGAAUGCUAAUGGUUGAGCAUAUAAUUUGCUAAAGUUAGUGUGGAAUAUGCAUAUUUUGGGUAUGAUUAUAAACAAGCUUGGUUAGCAUAGUAUUGUAUAGUUUUGUUGAUACAAAUUGCGGUACCAAUGAGGGUAUAUCGGUUGGACGUUUUAGUUGGUCAAUUGACUAUGCUUGAGAUGUGUUUAAUCGAAGUUUGAUUAAGUUAAAAGUUUAGGAAUUAAA